RNAcentral lists this long non-coding RNA (606 nucleotides) under Rattus norvegicus (Norway rat). RNAcentral's name for it is "long non-coding RNA NONRATT008292". Lineage: Eukaryota; Metazoa; Chordata; Mammalia; Rodentia; Muridae. The record is from RNAcentral.
AAAAGAUCUUUACCAAUCCUACAACAGAUAGAGGCCUUAUAUCCAAAAUAUACAAAGAACUCAAGAAGUUAGACUGCAGGGAGACAAAUAACCCUAUUAAAAAUGGGGUUCAGAGCUAAACAAAGAAUUCACAGCUGAGGAAUGCCGAAUGGCUGAGAAACACCUAAAGAAAUGUUCAACAUCUUUAGUCAUAAGGGAAAUGCAAAUCAAAACAACCCUGAGAUUUCACCUCACACCAGUGAGAAUGGCUAAGAUCAAAAACUCAGGUGACAGCAGAUGCUGGCGAGGAUGUGGAGAAAGAGGAACACUCCUCCAUUGUUGGUGGGAUUGCAGACUGGUAAAACCAUUCUGGAAAUCAGUCUGGAGGUUCCUCAGAAAAUUGGACAUUGAACUGCCUGAGGAUCCAGCUAUACCUCUCUUGGGCAUAUACCCAAAAGAUGCCUCAACAUAUAAAAGAGACACGUGCUCCACUAUGUUCAUCGCAGCCUUAUUUAUAAUAGCCAGAAAAUGGAAAGAACCCAGAUGCCCUUCAACAGAGGAAUGGAUACAGAAAAUGUGGUACAUCUACACAAUGGAAUAUUACUCAGCUAUCAAAAACAAUGGCUU